AUGGAAAAUUGCAUUUUUGGAAUUUGCAAUAAUGCGAUGGGCGAACGACGGGAAUUGAACCCGCGCAUGGUGGAUUCACAAUCCACUGCCUUGAUCCACGCUACAUCCGCCCCUUAUCCAGCUAAAGGAUUUUUUUCUUUUUUCCAUUGA
This 150-nucleotide transfer RNA is filed under the name Triticum aestivum (bread wheat). RNAcentral's name for it is "partial small subunit ribosomal RNA". Lineage: Eukaryota; Viridiplantae; Streptophyta; Magnoliopsida; Poales; Poaceae. The record is from RNAcentral.